This 836-nucleotide ribosomal RNA is filed under the name uncultured bacterium. Its description in RNAcentral is "bacterial SSU rRNA". It matches the Rfam family "Bacterial small subunit ribosomal RNA", at positions 117 to 968 of the family's 1533-position model. The record is from RNAcentral.
GUAAGUAACCUGCCCCUAAGUGGGGAAUAACUCUGAGAAAUCGGAGCUAAUACCGCAUGUGGUCCUUUCUUGAUGAGGAAGGAUUAAAGCCUUUGGGUGCUUGGGGAUGGGCUUGCGUCCGAUUAGCUAGUUGGUAGGGUAAUGGUCUACCAAGGCGAUGAUCGGUAGCUGGUUUGAGAGGAUGGUCAGCCACACUGGGACUGAGAUACGGCCCAGACUCCUACGGGAGGCAGCAGCAAGGAAUAUUGUGCAAUGGGCGAAAGCCUGACACAGCGACGUCGCGUGGGGGAUGAAGGCCCUCGGGUUGUAAACCCCUUUUCUCAGGGAAGAAUAAUGACGGUACCUGAGGAAUAAGUCGUGGCUAACUACGUGCCAGCAGCCGCGGUAAUACGUAGGCGGCAAGCGUUAUCCGGAUUUAUUGGGCGUAAAGAGGGCGUAGGCGGUUUUUCAAGUCGAUUGUGAAAUCUCCCGGCUUAACUGGGAGAGGCCAGUCGAUACUGUUAGACUAGAGGGCAGCAGGGGGAGGUGGAAUUCCCGGUGUAGUGGUGAAAUGUGUAGAUAUCGGGAGGAACACCAGUGGCGAAGGCGGCCUCCUAGGCUGUUUCUGACGCUGAGGUCCGAAAGCGUGGGGAGCAAACAGGAUCAGAUACCCUGGUAGUCCACGCUGUAAACGAUGGGCACUAAGUAGAGGAAACUACCGAUGUUUUCUCUGCCGUAGCAAACGCAUUAAGUGCCCCGCCUGGGGGAGUACGGCCGCAAGGCUAAAACUCAAAAGAAUUGACGGGGGCUCGCACAAGCGGUGGAGCAUGUGGCUUAAUUCGAUGCAACGCGAAAAA